CUACGGGUCGCUGCAGUGGGGGAUAUUGCACAAUGGGCGAAAGCCUGAUGCAGCAACGCCGCGUGAAGGAAGACGGUUUUCGGAUUGUAAACUUCUAUCAGCAGGGAAGAAAAUGACGGUACCUGACUAAGAAGCCCCGGCUAACUACGUGCCAGCAGCCGCGGUAAUACGUAGGGGGCAAGCGUUAUCCGGAAUUACUGGGUGUAAAGGGUACGUAGGCGGCUGAUCAAGUCAGAUGUGAAAGCCCGGAGCUCAACUCCGGGAUUGCAUUUGAAACUGGUCGGCUAGAGUGCAGGAGAGGAAAGUGGAAUUCCUAGUGUAGCGGUGAAAUGCGUAGAUAUUAGGAAGAACACCAGUGGCGAAGGCGGCUUUCUGGACUGUAACUGACGCUGAGGUACGAAAGCGUGGGGAGCGAACAGGAUUAGAUACCCCGGUAGUC
RNAcentral lists this ribosomal RNA (439 nucleotides) under uncultured bacterium. Its description in RNAcentral is "partial 16S ribosomal RNA". It matches the Rfam family "Bacterial small subunit ribosomal RNA", at positions 339 to 795 of the family's 1533-position model. The record is from RNAcentral.